Lepisosteus oculatus (spotted gar) is the source of this 119-nucleotide ribosomal RNA. The record is from Rfam. Lineage: Eukaryota; Metazoa; Chordata; Actinopteri; Semionotiformes; Lepisosteidae.
GCCAGCAGCCAUAUCACCCUGCAAAUCACAACUGGCAACCCACUGAAGCUAAGCAGGUGUGAGCCUGGUUAGUACCUGGAUGGGAGACCUCUUGGGAAAAACUAAGGUUGAUACUGGAA